GUUUAAUUCGAUGCAACGCGAAGAACCUUACCUGGUCUUGACAUCCACGGAAGUUUUCAGAGAUGAGAAUGUGCCUUCGGGAACCGUGAGACAGGUGCUGCAUGGCUGUCGUCAGCUCGUGUUGUGAAAUGUUGGGUUAAGUCCCGCAACGAGCGCAACCCUUAUCCUUUGUUGCCAGCGGUCCGGCCGGGAACUCAAAGGAGACUGCCAGUGAUAAACUGGAGGAAGGUGGGGAUGACGUCAAGUCAUCAUGGCCCUUACGACCAGGGCUACACACGUGCUACAAUGGCGCAUACAAAGAGAAGCGACCUCGCGAGAGCAAGCGGACCUCAUAAAGUGCGUCGUAGUCCGGAUUGGAGUCUGCAACUCGACUCCAUGAAGUCGGAAUCGCUAGUAAUCGUGGAUCAGAAUGCCACGGUGAAUACGUUCCCGGGCCUUGUACACACCGCCCGUCACACCAUGGGAGUGGGUUGCAAAAGAAGUAGGUAGCUUAACCUUCGGGAGGGCGCUUACCACUUUGUGAUUCAUGACUGGGGUGAAGUCGUAACAAGGUAACCGUAGGGGAACCUGCGGUUGGAUCACCUCCUUACCUUAAAGAAGC
RNAcentral lists this ribosomal RNA (601 nucleotides) under Shigella flexneri. Its description in RNAcentral is "bacterial SSU rRNA". It matches the Rfam family "Bacterial small subunit ribosomal RNA", at positions 944 to 1533 of the family's 1533-position model. The record is from RNAcentral. Lineage: Bacteria; Pseudomonadati; Pseudomonadota; Gammaproteobacteria; Enterobacterales; Enterobacteriaceae.